RNA transcript from Acanthochromis polyacanthus (spiny chromis), 2720 nucleotides. It is a transcript of the gene named ribophorin II, with no coding region annotated. The record is from RefSeq and is a predicted model, not a curated record. The transcript has 18 exons. NCBI's taxonomy places the organism in Eukaryota, Metazoa, Chordata, Actinopteri, Pomacentridae.
UGUCAUUUUGGAACGUAACCCGGAUGUAAUCCCUCUGUGACAGCUCGCGCUUGGACACUCCGGAAGUUAUCGUCGGUUUUGGUGACGCUGCAUUAGACUGCGAGACAUGGACCGGUCCAAGCUGCUCGGAGUGUUUCUCCUCAGCCUGGCUCUUGCUGGAGCUCAGGCUCUCACACCGGCGCACUACCUCUCCCUGUCUGAUGUGGCCCGACUGCAGAACCUGCUGAGCCAACAGUUCACCGACCUGGAGUCCGCGUACUAUUCGGUUGUGGGUCUCACCAAGCUUGGAGCAACUGUGCCCGAUCACAAGGAAGUAUGCCAGUUCCUAAAAUCCCAGCUUGACCCCACAAGUGUCGACUCUCUCUUCUUUGCUGCUGAGACCAGUCAAGCUCUUUCAGGAUGUGAGAUCCCUGUAUCCAACGAAACCCGUGACAUCCUCCUGGCCGCAGUCAGUGAGGAUUCGACAAUGGCUCAGAUUCAUCGGGCCGUAAGUGCGCUCAGCUCUCUAGGACUUCCUCUCACUUCGCAGGAAGCUGUCGGUGCCCUGACAGCUCGCAUCAACAAGGAGGACAAUGUCCUGGCAAUCACCUUAGCCCUGCAAACAGCAUCCCGCCUGUCCCAGCAGGCUGAACUUGGAGGAAUACUGGAGGAAAUUGAGGAUCUGACAGCUCGCUUGGAUGAUCUUGGCGGCAUGUACCUUCAGUUUGAAGAGGGACUUGAGGCAACUGCAAUGUUUGUGACUGCUGCUUAUUCCCUGUCAGAUCAUGUGGACGUGGAGCCCCCUCUCAAGGAGGACCAGGUCAUCCAGCUAGUGAAUUCUAUCUUCAGCAAGAAAUCCUGGGACUCUCUGGGUGAGGCCUUCAGUGUGGCAAGUGCCGCUGCCGCCCUGUCCAGCAACCGCUUCCAUGUGCCAGUUGUUGUCAGCGUUCAGGGCCCAGCCACGGUGUCCCACAGCCAGCCAACACUGCAGCUCCUUGUUACUGAUGUCAUGUCUCAACCUCUGGCCUCUGCCAACGUCUUAGUGGAAUCUGCGUAUGCUGUUGCCUCCAAGAGCAUCAUUCUCAACCAAGCACCGUUCACACUUAAUGAUGGCGUCUUUGAACUGAACUUCAUGUCCAGCCAGCCAGCCAGUGGAUAUUACCAGUUUAGUGUUGCAGUGACUGGGGACAGCCGACUGGUUGCCAAUCAUGUUGAGCUUAAAGUCAAAGUGUCCACCGAGGUGGCUGUUACCAACAUGGACCUCUCUGUGGUGGAUAAAGACCAGAGCAUCGGCACAAAGACCACGAGGGUGGAUUAUCCUUCCAAAGCCAAGACCUCCUUCACAGCAGACAGCCACAUCAACUUUGCCAUGUCCUUCCAGCUGGUUGACAUCAACACUGGAGUGGCGCUCACCCCUCACCAGACCUUUGUCCGACUGCACAAUCAGAAAACUGGCCAAGAGGUGGUUUUCGUGGCUGAACCCGACGACAAGAAUCUGAACGUGUACAAGUUUGAGUUGGACACGACCAAGCAGAAAUCGGAGUUUGACUCUAUUUCUGGCACCUAUUCCCUUUACCUCAUUGUCGGAGACGCUACCCUGGAGAAUCCCAUCCUGUGGAAUGUGGCUGACAUUAUCCUGAAGUUUGUGGAUGAGGAAGCCCCAGCUACUAUUCAGUCCAAGACUCUUUAUGUACCAAAACCAGAGAUCCAGCACCUGUUCAGGACACCAGAGAAGAAGCCUCCCACUGUGGUUUCCAACACCUUCACCGCACUCAUCCUGUCUCCCUUCCUUCUGCUGCUCAUUCUGUGGUUUAAGCUCGGAGCCAACAUCUCCAACUUCAGCUUCUCUCCAAGCACCAUUCUGUUCCAUGCCGGACACGCAGCCAUGCUGGGCCUCAUGUACGUCUACUGGACCCAUCUGAACAUGUUCCAGACUCUGAAGUACCUGGCAAUCAUUGGCGGUGUAACUUUCCUUGCCGGGAACCGCAUGCUGGCCCAGAAAGCAGUGAAGAGGAUUGCUGCAGAGCAAAGUAGUAGGUUGGCAAAGUAUAGGAGUCUACGAUAAAGCCCCCCCCCCCCCCCCAUUUGUAACAAAUGAGUCGGUUCUGCUUCCGUUCUAAAAACUGAGAAAAAAUAAGGACAAGAACAUUGAAAGAUGGCACCAACGAGACUCUUUUUUUUUUGUUUCCAAGGAGUCGUUCAACAAAAUCAGACUUUACAAAAAGAAUCCAAUUGACGGUUUUACCAUGCAGUUUGUCUGUGUUGCCAAAUGGAAGAAUAUGAGACGUCACAGUGUCUCUGAGAAACUGGACAAACUCUCACUGGCAGAUUCUCCUACAGAGGACUGUAGAGCUACUGAUCAUUGCACUUCAUCUUCCUGUGAGAUUUGUUUUCUUUUCGCCCAACAUGCCAGUGCUUUCUAGGUGGGCUUUUUAUUUGUGGUUUUGUGAUGAAGUUUGGGUUUUGUCUUUUUUUUUUUUUGUUGUACAUUCCUCUGUUGACACUCGGUGCCCGUUUUAUCUUGUAACAAAAGCUCACAUUUGACAACUGAUAAUAAACCACUGGCAGUAGCACUGACACUCGGAUCAUUACUGACUAUGACGGUGUGUUUGCCUGUGGUAGUCUACUAUUUGAUACAGACUUCAUUUCCCUUAGAAAAAUUGCGAAUAAUAAAAUACGGGCAAUUUGAGGAUGUGAUGUUUUUCUAAUGAAGAGGAGGAAAUAAAGAAGUUGAGGUGGGA